RNAcentral lists this ribosomal RNA (254 nucleotides) under uncultured bacterium. RNAcentral describes it as "partial 16S ribosomal RNA". It matches the Rfam family "Bacterial small subunit ribosomal RNA", at positions 524 to 776 of the family's 1533-position model. The record is from RNAcentral.
UACGAAGGGGGCUAGCGUUGCUCGGAAUCACUGGGCGUAAAGGGUGCGUAGGCGGACUUUUAAGUCGGGGGUGAAAUCCCAGGGCUCAACCCUGGAACUGCCUUCGAUACUGGGAGUCUUGAGACCGGGAGAGGUGAGUGGAACUGCGAGUGUAGAGGUGAAAUUCGUAGAUAUUGGGAAGAACACCGGUGGCGAAGGCGGCGACCUGGUCCUUUUACUGACGCUGAGGCGCGAAAGCGUGGGGAGCAAACAGG